UGGCGGGUAGUCUAAUGGUAGGACGUCUGGCUCUGGACCAGAUAAUCUAGGUUCGAAUCCCAGCCCGCCAGCCA
RNAcentral lists this transfer RNA (74 nucleotides) under Planctomycetota bacterium. RNAcentral's name for it is "tRNA-Gln". It matches the Rfam family "tRNA". From Rfam's summary of the family: Transfer RNA (tRNA) molecules are approximately 80 nucleotides in length. Their secondary structure includes four short double-helical elements and three loops (D, anti-codon, and T loops). RNAcentral also lists the same sequence under 1 other name. Lineage: Bacteria; Pseudomonadati; Planctomycetota. The record is from RNAcentral.